AAAAGUUAAAUCAAAACUUCAAACUUUCAUUUUUAUAUGUAUUCAUGCUUCUAUAUUUUUCAGCUUACAAUAGCCAGUGUUACAGUCGUGUACCUGGUAUUGGAAACAAGAGAAGAGGAAGGUGAGAAAUCAGCAAGGCAGUAAUCAACAAAGCAAAACAGUAACAGCAGUAGCUAAACCCAGCAACAUAUCUCAACAACACCCGGUAAAAUCAAACCAGAAAACACCAAGAGAAAUGGACUUUUAACUCACAGCAAUAUCGACACAAGCCAAAUGAACUCAAAGACACACUAGAGUUAUUUAAGAUCAGUCUUAGUGUGUUUGAAUCAAGAGAAAUGAAAUCAAUGAAGCAAAAAGAGAAGCUUCAAAUAAACAGUGGGGUUUUCAACUCUCUAAAAUUUUUCAGCUCUCAAUUAUUAUUAUUUUAUUCUCUGUUUUUUCGUCCUCUCAUGUUAUGAAAUUUCUCUCUCAAUAUUCCUUCCUUCCUAUAAGUGUAAAAUGAGUCAUAUUAUAUACCCAAAAGCAAGACUCCUUUCUUCUACCCUUUUACUAUUAUUACUACCCCUUUUAUUAUUACCCAUACUAUUUUUGAUUUUCAAUUAAGUAAAAAGCAGUCAACAUGGGUCCCAUGAUCCCCCUUUUCAAUGGUCAAAGAAGACCACAUUAUUACCCCAUCUUUAAAUAAUUAUGUCUUGUCCCCCACUAUGAUAUAUUAAUCAUACUUUUAUAUCUAGUGGACAAAGCACUCAACAUAAAUAAUUCAACAAGUUAUAAAUUCCAGUAUUACCCCCUAAAAUUAUUGAAAUUACCAUUCUACCCCAUCCCUUCAAUCUAUACAAAGUUAUCAACUCACCAACAUUAAUUCUUAAAAACACCAACUUACUACAGCUAUAACCAAAUUCCUAAUCAAAUUCAACAAUUAAGAAUAACUUUAAACAAAUCAGAUUCACAUUUAAAGAUAAACUUACAAAAUAAUAAGUAGCUUCAAAUUAUUAAAAUUAAUCAUCAAUUGAACUCCAAAUUAACCAAACCAAGAUGAAGGAUUCACUGACUAAACUAACACACUUUUAGAUUAACCCAAACAAGAACAAAUGAACACUGUAAACAUUUUGAACGAAAACAAACUGACUGCAUAUGCAAGAAAUGAUGGACAACAAAGUAAAAGCUCAACAGGCCACUACUAAAUAAUCACAAACAAACCAGAAUCUUAUUCAUAUACUCAUAUCAAAAUCAAGUGAAUAACCACCUACAUGCUAGCAGAGAACAAACAAAAAUCUGCUGAAUCAAAACAUAAAAAAUGCCAAAUAAGGCUUCGAACAGAUCUGGAAAAACACGACGAACCGUAGACAAUCCUCGACAUGGAAGCUUCGAAACUCACUGGAAGGUGAAAAGGAAAGGUAUGGUUGUGUGUGUGUGUAUAUUUGGAUUCAACUUCUCAUAGUCCAAGAUCCAAAUAACCAAGUUGUCUUCACCCUUUUCCUGUUGCGACGAAGCAGAAGCAGAUGGGGUCGUUUGGACGUGAGGUUCAACUAGCGGUUGUAGUGUUCGUUUGACUGAGAUGGUGACUAAAGCAGAAGCCGAUGGGGUCAUUUGGUUUUGUCGAUGGCUGGAGGAGAAGUUUACGUGAAGCAGCAGCUAUGGAGUCGCUCGCUGCUGCUCAUCUGGGUUCGACGGCGACUGAGGUCUGCUGGUGACUUGGGGUGGAUGGAGGUGGUCGUUUAGGACAGCAGCAAGCUUGUCCGGCGUGACGGGGCGACGGGAAAAUAAAUAGCAGUGGAGGGGGGAUGGAAUUAGGGUUUUUUCUUGGGGUUUUGGUGUGAUUUUCUUGAGGUUGAAGAAAGUAAACCAUGGAGUCUCCUAACGUUAUGUUUCCCUAAAUCUGUUCUAUGGUUGAGAAGAAGAUAGGUUAGGGAUGCUGAUAGGUUACAUGAGUCAGGUAAUUGGUUUGGGCUUGGGUUGGGUAUUUGGUUUGGACUUGGGAUAUUUUAAAUUGGAUAAGAGGC
Molecule: long non-coding RNA, 2003 nt
Filed under: Nicotiana benthamiana
Lineage: Eukaryota; Viridiplantae; Streptophyta; Magnoliopsida; Solanales; Solanaceae
Description: long non-coding RNA (NBEN_LNC005239)
Source: RNAcentral